UACGAAGGGGGCUAGCGUUGUUCGGAAUUACUGGGCGUAAAGCGCACGUAGGCGGAUUUGUAAGUCAGGGGUGAAAUCCCGGGGCUCAACCUCGGAACUGCCUUUGAUACUGAGGAUCUUGAGUUCGGGAGAGGUGAGUGGAACUGCGAGUGUAGAGGUGAAAUUCGUAGAUAUUCGCAAGAACACCAGUGGCGAAGGCGGCUCACUGGCCCGAUACUGACGCUGAGGCACGAAAGCGUGGGGAGCAAACAGG
This 253-nucleotide ribosomal RNA is filed under the name uncultured bacterium. RNAcentral describes it as "partial 16S ribosomal RNA". It matches the Rfam family "Bacterial small subunit ribosomal RNA", at positions 524 to 776 of the family's 1533-position model. The record is from RNAcentral.